GACGAACGCUGGCGGCGUGCUUAACACAUGCAAGUCGAACGGAAAGACCCUGCUUUUGUGGGGUGCUCGAGUGGCGAACGGGUGAGUAACACGUAAGUAACCUGCCCUUGACUUUGGGAUAACUUCAGGAAACUGGGGCUAAUACCGGAUAGGAGCUCCUGCUGCAUGGUGGGGGUUGGAAAGUUUCGGCGGUUGGGGAUGGACUCGCGGCUUAUCAGCUUGUUGGUGGGGUAGUGGCUUACCAAGGCUUUGACGGGUAGCCGGCCUGAGAGGGUGACCGGCCACAUUGGGACUGAGAUACGGCCCAGACUCCUACGGGAGGCAGCAGUGGGGAAUAUUGCACAAUGGGCGGAAGCCUGAUGCAGCAACGCCGCGUGCGGGAUGACGGCCUUCGGGUUGUAAACCGCUUUCGCCUGUGACGAAGCGUGAGUGACGGUAAUGGGUAAAGAAGCACCGGCUAACUACGUG
This 468-nucleotide ribosomal RNA is filed under the name uncultured bacterium. RNAcentral describes it as "partial 16S ribosomal RNA". It matches the Rfam family "Bacterial small subunit ribosomal RNA", at positions 28 to 507 of the family's 1533-position model. The record is from RNAcentral.